GCCGCCCCACACCGGGGAAGAUGGCGGCGCCGGAGGCGGCGUGGAACCGGCUGGACGUGCCGUGGCCCGCGAGCAGCGCGACGGUGGCACUGGCGGCCAAACACCCUGCAGUGAGGUGGCUGCCGGCGCUGCGGCGGCGGUGCGACAUCGCCGGCAAGCGGCUGUCGGGGACAGGCCUGGCCGCCGAGGGACGCGUCCUGCGGGCCGUGCUCUACGUCUACCACCACAGGCUGCUCCGGCACCGGUCCUACCUGGCCCUGCAGCAGGUAGAACAAUGCUUGAAGCGCCUAUGGAAAAUGAACUUGCUGGGCUGCAUUGAAGCUCUGGCAGAACUGAUUCCCAAGAAAAGUACAUCCCAAGCCCAUGCAGAGUGCUUAGUUCCCAGCCAGCCUAUGCUGGAAACAGUGGCUCUGAAAGUAUUGGGAGGUUGCAAGCUUAUACUGCGUCUACUGGACUGUUGCUGUAAAGCUUUUCUCUUGUCCGUUAAACAUCUCUGCUCGGAAGAAUUCAUACUUUUGAACACUGUGGCUUCAGGGUUGUUGAGCCGGCUAUGGAUUCAGUACAGGUGUGUAUUGCAGAGCCUCAUGUCUUUGUAUGGCAUGUUGUUGACAUCACUUCAUCUGGUAUCUGAGACCCAACAGAUGCCUUAUAUCAAGGGGUUUACCUUCCCUUCUGAUAUCAGUAACUUCCUUGGAGUUAACAUUUCUUAUGAGGUGAAGAAGCAAAAGGCUAGAAUGCUUACAACAAAAAAACCUACCAGCUGGCUGAAGAAGCUCUUCCCAACAAUGCCAGAGGCAGUGUCAGAGGUUGGGAAAACAAGAAAUUCUGUGACCUGCAUGAGUGCUGUGAACAACUGUAGUGUCCCAUGCCCCAUGGACAUCGGAGAGCCAGUUCUGGUGACCAGAGCCAGGAAAGGGAAGCACCUGGGGUUUGAUGUGAAGAGCUUACUUAGGCCAUCCAGACCUCCAACACAAGAGGUUUGUACGGGUAUAAGCAUUGCAUCAACAUCUUUUAAAGCAAAGUCAGCAUCACUUUCCUCCCAUAUAGCAAAAUUGCAGCAUACUGGAUCUCUUGUACAGAUGGUUCAAACAGCUGCGUCGUUUGGGGAACUGUCAGAGGCACUCAGAAAAGCUAUUCUGUGGUGCAAAGGCAACAAAUUCAAAUCAGAAGCUUAUUUUCUGCGUAACAAGUUGUUGAAAAGCAACCGGCUGCACCAUGUGGAGGCUCAAGGAUGCAGAUCAUCUGUGACUCGGGAAAGAACACAUAAACUUUUGCUGAUGCCCAGCUCUGGUCAGGAGAAGCUGAAGAUGAAACUUAACAAUAUAAGUUUCCCAUGCUCUGCCAGCAAGCAGGUGUACAAGAAGCUGGGAGGGAGCGUGGCCAGGACAGGUGACCCGAACUAGCCAAAGGGAUAUUCCAUACCACAGGACGUCAUGCUCAGUAUAUAAACCGGGGAGAGUUGGCCAGGAGGGGCGGAUCGCUGCUCAGGCAUCGGUCAGCAGGUGCUCUCUCAGAUUGACAAACAAUUGACUGACUAUGGCCAAACAACUUGGAAACUGAAGGAAACUGAAGAGGAAGAAGGAGAAGGUGCAGCUGAGGUGCAGACACUGGAGAAACAAAAACACACUGGAGAGUAGAAGCCAGAGAUGAAGCACGGAAGGAUCCCAAGGAAUGAAUUCAAAAGAAAUACAAACUGGCUGUGAAUGCAUCAGAUGAGAAGAAAAGGAAGUUAAAGGACUGGCUGUAGCAUAUUGUGGAGAGGGUGGCUUCUUAUAUAGAGGGCUGUAGAGUGACAUUAGGGGACUCUUGCAAGAAUACAGUCAAAAUACUGGCUGUGUAGUGCCAGGGUUAUGGUGACAGACUAGACCAGAUGCUGUAGAGGAAGAAAAAGGAGAAAGUACUGCUGGAAGACCAGAGAGAUGCACAAGGUAAAUUCUUUUUCCAUAGAAGCCUGUACUCAACAUCACUUCUGUACAUGACAGGUGCAGAAGAGGCAAAGCUUUACAAGGUAAUGCUGGCUGCUUGCAGUGUGGUGUAUACCCUGCAAACAAUUUAAGACAUCAAAAGCAUUUAAAACUGAAAUGGUCUCUACUACUUUAGUAUGCUGCCAGUCCCUCCUUUGAUCAAUGAGUGGGGAAAAGGAAAGGGAGAGCUUUUGUGUCCCUGGCCUGGGGAAGUGCAGUUCCUCACUCCACAACACAGCAUGUUCCUCAAGAACUUGGCAAGAAAGUCUGCUCCUGUGUCAGAUGCCCGUUUAACCAAAGCAUGUUCCCAUGAAGGCACUGAAAUGUAAGGUUUAAAGUUUAAUUGAAGGAGAGGACUUGAUUUUAUUUACUACCUUACCUGUCAUAGGGGCACUGGUUCUUGCAUGUAACAAAACUGUCGUGUUCCCUCCUGCAGAUGGCUGAGGAAAAUCCAAGAGUAAUUCCAGUGUUGGAAGCAUUUGUGAAUGAAAAUCUUUUGACCAAUAAAGCAGAAAACCCACAUGUGUCCAGAGGUAAAACUGGCUCUUCAGGGUAAGACUGUACCCGCUGUUUCUAGUACAGCUGUAAAAAACUAUGAUCUAGCUCCAUGUGGCUUCCACUAAGGACACCUCGUGGCAACUAUACACACCCCCAAGGAUCAUGGGGUCCAAUUCACAGUCUGCUGCUAUUUCAAAGCACUUUUUAUAUAAAUGGAUUUACCAGACAUAUUUAAUGUAUUUAAGUGGUUAAUAAAAGACUUCCCAGCACUGUUAA
This is an RNA transcript of Harpia harpyja (harpy eagle), 2738 nucleotides long. It is a transcript of the gene named nucleolus and neural progenitor protein, with no coding region annotated. The transcript is spliced from 14 exons. The record is from RefSeq and is a predicted model, not a curated record. NCBI's taxonomy places the organism in Eukaryota, Metazoa, Chordata, Aves, Accipitriformes, Accipitridae.